AGUGAACGCUGGCGGUAGGCCUAACACAUGCAAGUCGAACGGCAGCACAGUAAGAGCUUGCUCUUACGGGUGGCGAGUGGCGGACGGGUGAGGAAUACAUCGGAAUCUACUUUUUCGUGGGGGAUAACAUAGGGAAACUUACGCUAAUACCGCAUACGACCUACGGGUGAAAGCAGGGGAUCUUCGGACCUUGCGCGAUUGAAUGAGCCGAUGUCGGAUUAGCUAGUUGGCGGGGUAAAGGCCCACCAAGGCGACGAUCCGUAGCUGGUCUGAGAGGAUGAUCAGCCACACUGGAACUAAGACACGGUCCAGACUCCUACGGGAGGCAGCAGUGGGGAAUAUUGGACAAUGGGCGCAAGCCUGAUCCAGCCAUACCGCGUGGGUGAAGAAGGCCUUCGGGUUGUAAAGCCCUUUUGUUGGGAAAGAAAAGCAGCAGGUUAAUACCCCGCUGUUCUGACGGUACCCAAAGAAUAAGCACCGGCUAACUUCGUG
RNAcentral lists this ribosomal RNA (492 nucleotides) under uncultured bacterium. Its description in RNAcentral is "partial 16S ribosomal RNA". It matches the Rfam family "Bacterial small subunit ribosomal RNA", at positions 29 to 507 of the family's 1533-position model. The record is from RNAcentral.